RNAcentral lists this ribosomal RNA (429 nucleotides) under Bacillota bacterium. Its description in RNAcentral is "Firmicutes bacterium partial 16S ribosomal RNA". It matches the Rfam family "Bacterial small subunit ribosomal RNA", at positions 355 to 776 of the family's 1533-position model. Lineage: Bacteria; Bacillati; Bacillota. The record is from RNAcentral.
UAGGGAAUAUUCGGCAAUGGAAGGAAGUCUGACCGAGCAACGCCGCGUGAGUGAAGAAGGGGUGCGGAUAGGAAAGAGCGGUUGUUAGAGAAGAACGGUGGGAGGAGUGGAAAAGCUAACAAGGGAAGGGAACUAACCAGAAAGGGACGGCGAACGACGUGCCAGCAGCCGCGGUAAUACGUAGGUCCCGAGCGUUGUCCGGAUUUAUUGGGCGUAAAGCGAGCGCAGGCGGUUCUUUAAGUCUGAAGUUAAAGGCAGUGGCUUAACCAUUGUACGCUUUGGAAACUGGAGGACUUGAGUGCAGAAGGGGAGAGUGGAAUUCCAUGUGUAGCGGUGAAAUGCGUAGAUAUAUGGAGGAACACCGGUGGCGAAAGCGGCUCUCUGGUCUGUAACUGACGCUGAGGCUCGAAAGCGUGGGGAGCAAACAGG